GACGAACGCUGGCGGCGUGGAUUAGGCAUGCAAGUCGAACGGUAGGAUCCUUUCGGGGAUCUGAGAGUGGCGAACGGGUGAGUAACACGUAGGUGAUCUACCCUCAAGACGGGGACAACCCAGGGAAACUUGGGCUAAUACCGGAUGUGAGCUAUCGCGAGAUAGUUUGAAAGGUGGCUUCGGCUGCCGCUUGAGGAUGAGCCUGCGUCCUAUUAGCUAGUUGGUGAGGUAACGGCUCACCGAGGCAGUGAUAGGUAGGCGGCCUUAACGGGUGGUCGCCCACACUCGGGAUUGAGAUACGGCCCAGACUCCUACGGGAGCAGCAGUCGAGAAUAGUCUACAAUGGUCGAAAGACUGAUAGUGCGACGCCGCGUGAACGAAGAAGCCCUUCGGGGUCGUAAAGUUCUUUUAUAUGUGAGCAGUGACACCCAUAUUAAUAGUAUGGGUGUAGAGAUAUUAGCAUAUGAAUAAGCAACGGCUAACUCCGUGCCAGCACGG
This 498-nucleotide ribosomal RNA is filed under the name uncultured bacterium. RNAcentral describes it as "bacterial SSU rRNA". It matches the Rfam family "Bacterial small subunit ribosomal RNA", at positions 28 to 516 of the family's 1533-position model. The record is from RNAcentral.